AUGUCUGGGCAUGGGUCGUCGGGCAAGCACCCCUUCUACCGCGGCAUCCGGAGCCGGUGCGGGAAGUGGGUCUCGGAGAUCCGGGAGCCGCGGAAGGCCCGCCGCAUCUGGCUCGGUACCUUCCCGACGGCCGAGAUGGCCGCCGUGGCCUACGACGUGGCCGCCCAGGCGCUGCGCGGGCCCGACGCGGCGCUCAACUUCCCCGCCUUGGCCGCCACGCGCCGCGCCCCGGCGUCCGCCUCCGCGGACGACAUCCGCGCGGCGGCGGCCGCCGCAGCUGUCUCCGUCCAGCACGAUCGCGCCGGCGGCGGCAUUGCCCCCGCGGCUGCUGGAUCCGCACUGCAGCUGCAGCAGCAGCUGAGCGGGGGCAGUGCCGCCGCUGCCUCGGCGAGCGGCGCGGCCCAGCAGGAUCAAGCCGGCAUUGGGUUCAACCAGUUCUUCCUGGACGAGGAGGCGCUCUUCGAGACGCCGCAGUUCCUGCGCAGCAUGGCCGCCGGGAUGAUGAUGAGCCCCCCAAGGCUCAGCCCCGACUCCUCCGACGAAUCGCCGGACCCUUCCGAGGCCGGGGAGAGCCUCUGGAGCUACCGCGACCCGUAG
Molecule: ribosomal RNA, 597 nt
Filed under: Triticum aestivum (bread wheat)
Lineage: Eukaryota; Viridiplantae; Streptophyta; Magnoliopsida; Poales; Poaceae
Description: partial small subunit ribosomal RNA
Source: RNAcentral